GGGUGGUAAUGCCGGAUGUUCCACAUGAUCGCAUGUGAUUGUGGGAAAGAUUUCAUCGGCGUGGGAUGGGGUCGCGUCCUAUCAGCUUGUUGGUGAGGUAACGGCUCACCAAGGCUUCGACGGGUAGCCGGCCUGAGAGGGCGACCGGCCACAUUGGGACUGAGAUACGGCCCAGACUCCUACGGGAGGCAGCAGUGGGGAAUAUUGCACAAUGGGCGCAAGCCUGAUGCAGCGACGCCGCGUGAGGGAUGGAGGCCUUCGGGUUGUAAACCUCUUUUGUUUGGGAGCAAGCCUUCGGGUGAGUGUACCUUUCGAAUAAGCGCCGGCUAACUACGUGCCAGCAGCCGCGGUAAUACGUAGGGCGCAAGCGUUAUCCGGAUUUAUUGGGCGUAAAGGGCUCGUAGGCGGCUCGUCGCGUCCGGUGUGAAAGUCCAUCGCUUAACGGUGGAUCUGCGCCGGGUACGGGCGGGCUGGAGUGCGGUAGGGGAGACUGGAAUUCCCGGUGUAACGGUGGAAUGUGUAGAUAUC
This 528-nucleotide ribosomal RNA is filed under the name Bifidobacterium bifidum. RNAcentral's name for it is "bacterial SSU rRNA". It matches the Rfam family "Bacterial small subunit ribosomal RNA", at positions 158 to 698 of the family's 1533-position model. Lineage: Bacteria; Bacillati; Actinomycetota; Actinomycetes; Bifidobacteriales; Bifidobacteriaceae. The record is from RNAcentral.